CCUACGGGAGGCAGCAGUGGGGAAUAUUGCACAAUGGGGGAAACCCUGAUGCAGCGACGCCGCGUGAGUGAAGAAGUAUUUCGGAAUGUAAAGCUCUAUCAGCAGGGAAGAAAAUGACGGUACCUGAUUAAGAAGCCCCGGCUAACUACGUGCCAGCAGCCGCGGUAAUACGUAGGGGGCAAGCGUUAUCCGGAUUUACUGGGUGGAAGGGGAGCGUAGACGGCAGCACAAGUCUGGAGUGAAAUGCCGGGGCUUAACCCCGGAGCUGAGUUGGAAACUGUGCAGCUAGAGUGCAGGAGAGGUAAGUGGAAUUCCUAGUGUAGCGGUGAAAUGCGUGGAUAAUAGGAGGAACACCAGUGGCGAAGGCGGCUUACUGGACUGUAACUGACGUUGAGGCUCGAAAGCGUGGGGAGCAAACAGGAUUAGAUACCCCUGUAGUC
Molecule: ribosomal RNA, 440 nt
Filed under: uncultured bacterium
Lineage: Bacteria
Description: partial 16S ribosomal RNA
Rfam family: Bacterial small subunit ribosomal RNA
Source: RNAcentral